This 443-nucleotide ribosomal RNA is filed under the name uncultured bacterium. RNAcentral's name for it is "partial 16S ribosomal RNA". It matches the Rfam family "Bacterial small subunit ribosomal RNA", at positions 338 to 795 of the family's 1533-position model. The record is from RNAcentral.
CCUACGGGUGGCAGCAGUGGGGAAUAUUGGGCAAUGGGCGCAAGCCUGACCCAGCAACGCCGCGUGAAGGAAGAAGGCUUUCGGGUUGUAAACUUCUUUUCUCAGGGACGAAGAAAGUGACGGUACCAGAGGAAUAAGCCACCGCUAACUACGUACCAGCAGCCGCGGUAAUACGUAGGAGGAAAGCGUUAUCCGGAUUUAUUGGGUGUAAAGGUCGGGUAGGCGGGAGCGGAAGUCAGAUGUGAAAACUCAGGGCUCAAACCUGAGCCUGCAUUUGAAACUGGGUUUCUUGAGUGAUGGAGAGGCAAUCGGAAGUCCGUGUGUAGCGGUGAAAUGCGUAGAGAUACGGAGGAACACCAGUGGCGAAGGCGGAUUGCUGGACAGUAACUGACGCUGAGGUGCGAAAGCGUGGGGAGCAAACAGGAUUAGAUACCCGGGUAGUC